AUUUCUAUAUUGAUGUUUUCAUGGUUACCUCUGUAACAACCAAUUUUAUCUUAAUCUUUUUAUGACGUCUGCGCAUAUCGAACGUUCAGAUCAAAAUUAACAAAGGUUUCAGAAGGAGAGAGAGCAAGGUCUUUUGCAUCAUAAUCUGUAGUAUAGGGAAGCUUGAAUAAGGAAGACAGGAAAUAUGGACUGCUUUGUUAAAAUCUUGGUUCUAGUCAUGUUUCUUCUUCUACUGAUUGAAAACAGACAAGACGUAUGUAGUGCAGAUACGACAAGUGCACCACCACCUACAUUAAACACCUCGUCAGGUGGAACGACAACUACUCCAACUAAAUCAGCGAAUACUACAGUAACAGUGUCUACAACUACACCAAAGCCUCCUUCAGGUAAUA
Molecule: long non-coding RNA, 392 nt
Organism: Saccostrea cuccullata (small rock oyster)
Lineage: Eukaryota; Metazoa; Mollusca; Bivalvia; Ostreida; Ostreidae
Exons: 5
Source: RefSeq, a predicted model, not a curated record